GCGGGUAUUGUAUAAUGGUAUUACUUUAGCCUUCCAAGCUAAUGAUACGGGUUCGAUCCCCGUUACCCGCUCCA
Molecule: transfer RNA, 74 nt
Filed under: Pantoea sp. Edef
Lineage: Bacteria; Pseudomonadati; Pseudomonadota; Gammaproteobacteria; Enterobacterales; Erwiniaceae
Description: tRNA-Gly
Rfam family: tRNA
About the family: Transfer RNA (tRNA) molecules are approximately 80 nucleotides in length.
Source: RNAcentral